This 402-nucleotide ribosomal RNA is filed under the name Triticum aestivum (bread wheat). Its description in RNAcentral is "partial small subunit ribosomal RNA". Lineage: Eukaryota; Viridiplantae; Streptophyta; Magnoliopsida; Poales; Poaceae. The record is from RNAcentral.
AUGCUUCAUGCUAGUGAGACUUCUUCAUGCCUUGACUUACCUAUUUAUGAUGAAUAUGAUGAUGAACAUGUUGAGUUGCCUAGUUAUGAUGCUAUGCUCCAUAGGAUAUCAUGUGAAAAUUCUUUUGGUCACAUCAUGUUUGACAAUCCAUUGAACUUGUCAUAUGCUAUGAGUGAGAUCUCCCAUAUUGCAUCAUUUCAAUCUCAACAUAGUAACUAUGCAUGCCCCAUUAAAAUAAAUCAUAUUUGCACUUAUGGCAUAGAUGACGAGAUGAUGGUCAUUGGCUUUUGUUUUUCAUGUGAUGAUAUUGCCAUGCUUCCUUUACAUGAUUUUUGCAAUUCAUCUACUAUGCCAUGCCAUGAUCACAUUGUUCCAAAUAUGCUUUGUUUUGGAUGUUGUUAA